This 207-nucleotide ribosomal RNA is filed under the name uncultured bacterium. RNAcentral describes it as "partial 16S ribosomal RNA". It matches the Rfam family "Bacterial small subunit ribosomal RNA", at positions 568 to 774 of the family's 1533-position model. The record is from RNAcentral.
CUCGUAGGUGGCCAACUAAGUCAGACGUGAAAUCCCUCGGCUUAACCGGGGAACUGCGUCUGAUACUGGAUGGCUUGAGUUUGGGAGAGGGACGCGGAAUUCCAGGUGUAGCGGUGAAAUGCGUAGAUAUCUGGAGGAACACCGGUGGCGAAGGCGGCGUCCUGGACCAAUACUGACACUGAGGAGCGAAAGCCAGGGGAGCAAACG